RNAcentral lists this long non-coding RNA (969 nucleotides) under Anser brachyrhynchus (Pink-footed goose). RNAcentral describes it as "lncRNA (ENSABRG00000007135.1)". Lineage: Eukaryota; Metazoa; Chordata; Aves; Anseriformes; Anatidae. The record is from RNAcentral.
CAACAACAACAACAACCACUGUAAACCAUGAUGUUUUCCCAUCUUGCAACUUACGGUUUGUUAAGUCCAUACAAAGCGGCUGGUCAGGAGAGCAGAGGUCCAUCAGACCCCACCUGGGCCACUCAUAACAGGGACCGUGGUCCCCAGCCCAGGCAGGAGAAGCAGAGAGAUUUCCAACCCAAGCCCUGAGCACACUCACGGCUCUUAAACAAGCCUAGUCUGUAGUUUCAUCUGACCAUCAACGUCCUCGGAAAGUGUAAAUAGAAAAGUGACUGACAGCGGCUUUGUCCCCGUGUCUAAGAAAUCUCCCGCUAAAAUAGGCUCGGAAAGGAGCCAACUGAAAGUGAAAUGCUAAAGAAGGAAGCACAAAGAUUGCUGGUACUUAAUAUAAAUUUACAUCAUAAAGGCCAUUUCAGGCUCCAGUGUCUCAGAGACGUGCCUUCAUUUGGGACUGACUUCAGUUUCAUGUUAAUUUGCUGUAGUUAAAGCUACCUAAGUGGAUGUGCAAUGCCAAGCCUUUCAUUUCUUGAUGAUAAUUUCUAAAAGCUAUUAUUGAUCCAUUUGGUUUGAAAGCUUGCUGCAGCUCGAGGAAGCUGGGGAGAUGUCUGCUCUGCAGCACAGAUGAGACAUAAGUGGUUUCUAAAACAAUUUUGACCUUUCUUAGCCACGGCGGGUGUGAGGAUAACAAGGGCAAAUCUUCAGGCUUCAGACCCAUUUUUGGGUUGGAGGCUUCACAUUACCUAAAAGUUGAGGAAAGCUGCUUGGUCCUGGAGUUAAAGCUGUUGUUCAAUGUGGGCGCACACACGUGCACACAGCGCUCCUUAAACUCUGCCUCUCUCUUGUUUGCUGCUUUCCAUCCCACGGGGGAAAAACAAACCAGGUCCUCACUAAGCAGAAAAGGCUUUUUUAUUUAUUUACCUAUUUUUCUGUGUGUGGAGAAAGUUUAAAACCUGUUUCUCUUCUUCCUUG